This 263-nucleotide unclassified non-coding RNA is filed under the name plant metagenome. Its description in RNAcentral is "partial contains small subunit ribosomal RNA, internal transcribed spacer 1, and 5.8S ribosomal RNA". The record is from RNAcentral.
UUUCCGUAGGUGAACCUGGGGAAGGAUCAUUAUUGUAUAACCGAGGUGCGAGGGCUGUCGCUGACCCGAAAGGUCGUGCACGCCCGAGUGCCCUCACACACAUCCAUCUCACCCCUAUGUGCACCACCGCGUGGGUCCCCCUUUGGCUUGUUCGGAGGGGGGCUUACGUUUUCACACAAACUUUGUAUGCAGUGUAGAGUGUAUUUUUUGUUUUUGCGAUCACGCAAUCAAUACAACUUUCAACAACGGAUCUCUUGGCUCUC